Molecule: ribosomal RNA, 433 nt
Filed under: uncultured bacterium
Lineage: Bacteria
Description: partial 16S ribosomal RNA
Rfam family: Bacterial small subunit ribosomal RNA
Source: RNAcentral
AGCGAACGCUGGCGGCAGGCCUAACACAUGCAAGUCGAACGAACUCUUCGGAGUUAGUGGCGGACGGGUGAGUAACACGUGGGAACGUGCCUUUAGGUUCGGAAUAACUCAGGGAAACUUGUGCUAAUACCGAAUGUGCCCUUCGGGGGAAAGAUUUAUCGCCUUUAGAGCGGCCCGCGUCUGAUUAGCUAGUUGGUGAGGUAAAGGCUCACCAAGGCGACGAUCAGUAGCUGGUCUGAGAGGAUGAUCAGCCACAUUGGGACUGAGACACGGCCCAAACUCCUACGGGAGGCAGCAGUGGGGAAUCUUGCGCAAUGGGCGAAAGCCUGACGCAGCCAUGCCGCGUGAAUGAUGAAGGUCUUAGGAUUGUAAAAUUCUUUCACCGGUGACGAUAAUGACGGUACCCGGAGAAGAAGCCCCGGCUAACUUCGUG